UCCCUGGUGGCCCAGUGGUUAAGACUCUGCACUCCCAACACAGGGGACCCAACUUUGAUUCUUGGUCAGGGAGCUA
This 76-nucleotide transfer RNA is filed under the name Cervus elaphus hippelaphus. Its description in RNAcentral is "tRNA-Glu". Lineage: Eukaryota; Metazoa; Chordata; Mammalia; Artiodactyla; Cervidae. The record is from RNAcentral.